AGUGAACGCUGGCGGUAGGCCUAACACAUGCAAGUCGAACGGCAGCACAGUAAGAGCUUGCUCUUACGGGUGGCGAGUGGCGGACGGAUGAGGAAUACAUCGGAAUCUACUUUUUCGUGGGGGAUAACGUAGGGAAACUUACGCUAAUACCGCAUACGACCUACGGGUGAAAGCAGGGGAUCUUCGGACCUUGCGCGAUUGAAUGAGCCGAUGUCGGAUUAGCUAGUUGGCGGGGUAAAGGCCCACCAAGGCGACGAUCCGUAGCUGGUCUGAGAGGAUGAUCAGCCACACUGGAACUGAGACACGGUCCAGACUCCUACGGGAGGCAGCAGUGGGGAAUAUUGGACAAAGGGCGCAAGCCUGAUCCAGCCAUACCGCGUGGGUGAAGAAGGCCUUCGGGUUGUAAAGCCCUUUUGUUGGGAAAGAAAAGCAGCAGGUUAAUACCCCGCUGUUCUGACGGUACCCAAAGAAUAAGCACCGGCUAACUUCGUG
RNAcentral lists this ribosomal RNA (492 nucleotides) under uncultured bacterium. RNAcentral's name for it is "partial 16S ribosomal RNA". It matches the Rfam family "Bacterial small subunit ribosomal RNA", at positions 29 to 507 of the family's 1533-position model. The record is from RNAcentral.